AUUCCAGCUCCAAUAGCGUAUAUUUAAGUUGUUGCAGUUAAAAAGCUCGUAGUUGGAUUUCGGUUAAGAGCGACCGGUCCGCCGUUUGGUGUGCACUGGUUGGUUUUAACUUCCUGUAGAGGACGUGCUCUGGGCUUAACGGUCUGGACUCGGAGUCUACGUGGUUACUUUGAAAAAAUUAGAGUGUUCAAAGCGGGCUUACGCUUGAAUAUUUCAGCAUGGAAUAACACUAUAGGACUCCUGUCCUAUUUCGUUGGUCUCGGGACGGGAGUAAUGAUUAAGAGGAACAGUUGGGGGCAUUCGUAUUUCAUUGUCAGAGGUGAAACUCUCAGACCAGCGGAAGACGAACCACUGCGAAAGCAUUUGCCAGGGAUGUUUUCAUCA
Molecule: ribosomal RNA, 384 nt
Filed under: Micromonas sp.
Lineage: Eukaryota; Viridiplantae; Chlorophyta; Mamiellophyceae; Mamiellales; Mamiellaceae
Description: partial small subunit ribosomal RNA
Rfam family: Eukaryotic small subunit ribosomal RNA
Source: RNAcentral